UACGAAGGUGGCGAGCGUUACCCGGAUUGAUUGGGUGUAAAGAGUUCGUAGACGGUUUAAAAAGUUCUUGGUCAAAUCUUGAGGCUCAACUUCGAGACUGCCAAGAAGACUUUUAGACUAGAGACUGGAAGAGGCAAGCGGAAUUGCCGGUGUAGUAGUAAAAUGCGUUGAUAUCGGCAGGAACACCAAAAGCGAAGGCAGCUUGCUAGUACAGUUCUGACGUUCAGGAACGAAAGCGUGGGUAG
Molecule: ribosomal RNA, 245 nt
Filed under: uncultured bacterium
Lineage: Bacteria
Description: partial 16S ribosomal RNA
Rfam family: Bacterial small subunit ribosomal RNA
Source: RNAcentral